UAAUCAUUUGUCUUUUAAAUAAAGACCUGUAUGAAUGGCAUCACGAGGGCUCGACUGUCUCCUAUCCCUAAUCAGUGAAAUUGAUCUGUCCGUGCAGAAGCGGGCAUAAAAACAUAAGACGAGAAGACCCUAUGGAGCUUAAGACAUAAGAUCAGACAUAGUUAGUAGUUUAAACCCGACAGGAAUAAAGAGCUAAGUUUCAAUGUGUUGACUGAUCGGAUUGUCUUCGGUUGGGGCGACCGCGGAGGAGAAGAAAGCCUCCAUGUGGAGUGGGGAAAUACUCCCUAAAGCUAAGAGCUACGGCUCUAAGAAGCAGAAUAUCUGACCAGAAAUGAUCCAGGUUAAGGCCUGAUCAACGAACCAAGUUACCCUAGGGAUAACAGCGCAAUCCUUUCUCAGAGUUCA
Molecule: ribosomal RNA, 405 nt
Filed under: Albula glossodonta (roundjaw bonefish)
Lineage: Eukaryota; Metazoa; Chordata; Actinopteri; Albuliformes; Albulidae
Description: partial 16S ribosomal RNA
Rfam family: Bacterial large subunit ribosomal RNA
Source: RNAcentral